AGUUUUUUUUAAUUAAUAAAAGAUAUAAUCUGCCCAUUGAAAUAUAUUUUUAAAAGGCCGCAGUAUUUUGACUGUGCAAAGGUAGCAUAAUCAUUAGAUUUUUAAUUGAAAUCUGGAAUGAAUGGUUAAAUGAAAUAAAAUCUUUUUUAAUUUUAAUAUUUGAAUUUUAUUUAUAAGUAAAAAAUCUUAUUUUAAAAAAUGGGACGAGAAGACCCUAUAGAAUUUUAUAAAUAUUGAAUUAAUUAAUUAUUUUUAUUUAUUUAAUUCUUUAAUAAUUUAUUUUAUUGGGGAGAUAUUUAAAUUUAUUAAACUUUAAAUUAUAAAAAUCAUAAGUUAAUGUUAUUUUUGAUCUUUUUUUAACGAUUAAAAAAAUAAAUUACCUUAGGGAUAACAGCAUAAUAAUUUUAUUAAGUUCUUAUUAAUGACAGAGAUUAUGACCUCGAUGUUGAAUUAAAAUAAUUAUUAUAUGUAGGAGUAUAAUAAAUAAGUCUGUUCGACUUUUAAAUUUUUACAUGAUUUGAGUUCAAAUCGGUGUAAG
This 538-nucleotide ribosomal RNA is filed under the name Asiodiplosis mohicana. RNAcentral's name for it is "partial large subunit ribosomal RNA". Lineage: Eukaryota; Metazoa; Arthropoda; Insecta; Diptera; Cecidomyiidae. The record is from RNAcentral.